RNAcentral lists this ribosomal RNA (798 nucleotides) under uncultured bacterium. RNAcentral describes it as "bacterial SSU rRNA". It matches the Rfam family "Bacterial small subunit ribosomal RNA", at positions 8 to 796 of the family's 1533-position model. The record is from RNAcentral.
AGAGUUUGAUCCUGGCUCAGAAUAAACGCUGGCGGCGUGCCUAACACAUGCAAGUCGAGCGAGAAAGUUCCUUCGGGAAUGAGUACAGCGGCAGACGGGUUAAUAACGCGUGAGAAUCUACCCUUUAGUGUGGAAUACCUCCGAGAAAUCGGAGAUAAUACCGCAUGUGUCCUUAUAGAAAUAUAUGGGUAAAGAUGGCCUCUUUGCUAUCGCUAGAGGAUGAGCUUGCGUACUAUCAGCUAGUUGGUAGGGUAAAGGCCUACCAAGGCUAUGACGGUUAGCCGGCCUGAGAGGGUGUUCGGCAACAUUGGAACUUAGACACGGUCCAGACUCCUACGGGAGGCAGCAGUGGGGAAUAUUGCACAAUGGGCGAAAGCCUGAUGCAGCGACGCCGCGUGAAGGAUGAAGGCCUACGGGUCGUAAACUUCUGUUAACUGGGAAGAAAGAACCGUUUUUAAUAAAAACGGGUGAUGACGUUACCAGUAAAGAAAGCACCGGCUAAACUCGUGCCAGCAGCCGCGGUAAUACGAGUGGUGCAAGCGUUAUUCGGAAUCAUUGGGCGUAAAGGGUGUGUAGGCGGUAUAUCAAGUCUGUUGUUAAAUCUCCCAGCCUAACUGGGAAAAUGCAGUGGAAACUGAUGUGCUAGAGGAUGGAAGAGAGAAGUGGAAUUCUCGGAGUAGCGGUAAAAUGCGUAGAUCUCGAGAGGAACACCGAUGGCGAAGGCAGCUUCUUGGUCCAUUCCUGACGCUGAUACACGAAAGCGUGGGGAGCAAACAGGAUUAGAUACCCUAGUAGUCC